Molecule: ribosomal RNA, 497 nt
Filed under: uncultured bacterium
Lineage: Bacteria
Description: partial 16S ribosomal RNA
Rfam family: Bacterial small subunit ribosomal RNA
Source: RNAcentral
GAUGAACGCUGGCGGCGUGCCUAAUACAUGCAAGUCGAGCGAACAGACGAGGAGUUUGCUCCUCUGACGUGAGCGGCGCACGUGUGAGUAACACGUGGAUAACCGACCUAUAAGUCUGGGAUAACUUCGGGAUACCGGAGCUAAUACCGGAUAAUAUAUUGAACCGCAUGGUUCAAUAGAUAAUGACGGUUUUGCGGUCACUUAUAGCUGGUUCCGAGCCGCAUUAGCUAGUUGGUAAUGUAACGGCUUGCCAAGGCAACGAUGGGUAGCCGACCUGAGAGGGUGAUCGGCCACACUGGAACUGAGACACGGUCCAGACUCCUAAGGGAGGCAGCAGUAGGGAAUCUUACGCAAUGGGCGGAAGCCUGACGGAGUAACGCCGCGCGUGGGAUGAAGAUCUUCCGCUCGUAAAACUGUGUUAUUAGGGAAGAACCAAUGUGUAAGUAUAUAUGCACGUCUUGACGGUACCUGAUCAAGAAGCCACGGCUAACUACGUG